This 548-nucleotide ribosomal RNA is filed under the name Lactifluus longistipes. Its description in RNAcentral is "Lactifluus sp. 25 HL-2019 partial large subunit ribosomal RNA". It matches the Rfam family "Eukaryotic large subunit ribosomal RNA", at positions 85 to 631 of the family's 3401-position model. Lineage: Eukaryota; Fungi; Basidiomycota; Agaricomycetes; Russulales; Russulaceae. The record is from RNAcentral.
AACUGCGAGUGAAGCGGGAAAAGCUCAAAUUUAAAAUCUAAUGGUCCUUGGCCAUUCGAGUUGUAAUUUAGAGAAGCGUCUUCCGCGCCAGACCAUGUACAAGUCUCCUGGAACGGAGCGUCAUAGAGGGUGAGAAUCCCGUCUUUGACAUGGACCCUUGGUGCUUCUGUGAUGCGCUCUCAAAGAGUCGAGUUGUUUGGGAAUGCAGCUCAAAAUGGGUGGUGAACUCCAUCUAAGGCUAAAUAUUGGCGAGAGACCGAUAGCGAACAAGUACCGUGAGGGAAAGAUGAAAAGCACUUUGGAAAGAGAGUGAAACAGUACGUGAAAUUGUUGAAAGGGAAACACUUGAAGUCAGUCGCGUCGAUCGAGACUCAGCCUUGCCUCGGCUUGGCGUACUUCUCGACUUGACGGGCCAGCAUCAAUUUCGUCCCUCGGAUAAUGGCAGGGGAAAGGUGGCACCUUCACGGGUGUGUUAUAGUCUCUUGUCGCAUGCGAGGGGUGGGAUUGAGGAACUCAGCACGCACCUCACGGUGUCGGGGCUUCGGCCC